CCGACGGUGAGAGAUGAAAGCUGGGGGAGCAAACCGGAUUAGAUACCCGGGUAGUCCCAGCCGUAAACGAUGUGCGUUAGGUGUAUCGGUGACCACGAGUCACCGAGGUGCCGAAGAGAAAUCGUGAAACGUACCGCCUGGGAAGUACGGUCGCAAGGCUGAAACUUAAAGGAAUUGGCGGGGGAGCACCAUAACAGGUGGAGCCUGCGGUUUAAUCGGACUCAACGCCGGGAAACUCACCAGAUAAGACAGCUGAAUGAUAGUCGGGCUGAAGACUCUACUUGACUAGCUGAGAGGAGGUGCAUGGCCGUCGUCAGUUCGUACUGUGAAGCAUCCUGUUAAGUCAGGCAACGAGCGAGACCCACGCCAACAGUUGCU
Molecule: ribosomal RNA, 378 nt
Filed under: uncultured archaeon
Lineage: Archaea
Description: bacterial SSU rRNA
Rfam family: Archaeal small subunit ribosomal RNA
Source: RNAcentral